Molecule: non-coding RNA, 764 nt
Organism: Pelobates cultripes (western spadefoot toad)
Lineage: Eukaryota; Metazoa; Chordata; Amphibia; Anura; Pelobatidae
Source: the annotation of a GenBank genome assembly
AUACAAGAACUUUGAUUGGCCAUGACCACUUACCAGUCAUCCACAGUAAACCUAAAAUAGGUCAAGCCUAGAAAACCCUGAACAGUCGUGCAAUGCUGCUGUAUUGUCUGAGAAUAAUAUCCUUCUUCUCAGAUUGCAUUUAUUUUCUCACUUACAUAUGGGAUAGGACUGGUAUUAUUAUUGUCAUGUGCUUUUCCUCUCGUGUUAAACCUGCUAACACCUUGCCUUUUCGAAUAAGAAAUUCAACUUCGUAUUGGCCAAUUCAUCUGUAUUUUUAGAACCCAAUGAUCCAUAUUUUUCUUGGUCUUUAAUCUUCCAACCUCCUAUUCUUCUAUGUCAGCUUCAUUUUACAGAGUAUAUUCUGAUAGAUGUAAACACUUGAAAUGAAACAGUCCAAUCGCACCGGCCAAGCAAAUAGGUUCUUUGGCAUCUACCUUGAACUGUACUUACUCAUCAAAUAUCACAUGUUUAUUUUAUUGUUUUAACCAUGUAGUCAGCACUUUAUAUCUGAAGGUUGUUGUAGAUAUUAUAGAGGUGAGAUUAUUUUUGUAGCUGCAGCCAUUAUUGCCUGAACAAACAGAUUUACAUAUAGCAAGUGGUUAACCGCACAGGACACAAUUACACAACCUUUUUUAUUAUAAUAAAUAAAGGUUAAUAAAUUAAUUUAGCAAUGUAUCCAAAAUGAAGAGGUUAUAGUGCAACUCUUAUCGUAAGUAAUGAUGUCUGUGCAAUAGAACACAAACAUAAUUUGGUUUCUGAAUGUG